AUUUAAGUAGCUCAUAGUUUAGAGUAUAGUUUUGAAGCAGCUAGGGAGAUUUCUGAAUCCUUAAAUA
RNAcentral lists this transfer RNA (67 nucleotides) under Polypedilum masudai. RNAcentral's name for it is "tRNA-Phe". The record is from RNAcentral. Lineage: Eukaryota; Metazoa; Arthropoda; Insecta; Diptera; Chironomidae.